CCCUGAUGAACAGGAUCGACCCAGUCUUCUUGAAGAUACAGAGGCGGUGGAAACAGCCCUCGUGGUGCUUCAUCAGCAUGCACUAGAAGUCAGCUGCACAGCAGAAGAAAUGCCUAAGAUCACGUUGCUGUCGUGACUAAUCUCUGAGAAGAACAGUUCGUAGAUGAAAGGGAAAGUAUCUCCAGAGCUCUCACAACCAGGAACAGGGUGCGCACCGGCUCCAUGCACACAGUUGAAAUGCAGACAUCUCCUGAGAUGUGACUUGUUGAAAGAAAGAAAAGAAAGAAAGAAAGAAAGAAAGAAAGAAAGAAAGAAAGAAAGAAAGAGGAAGAGAAAAGAAAAAAGAAAGAAAAGAAAAGAAAAGAAAAAAGAAAAAAGAAACAGUAAAAGCACUGAAAAGGACUGGGGCACCAUGGGACAGAAACAGCACCAGAAAAUAAAAUAAUUGACCAGUUUCUGAGGA
Long non-coding RNA from Lynx canadensis (Canada lynx), 463 nucleotides. RefSeq lists it as uncharacterized. The record is from RefSeq and is a predicted model, not a curated record. The transcript is spliced from 2 exons. Lineage: Eukaryota; Metazoa; Chordata; Mammalia; Carnivora; Felidae.